RNAcentral lists this ribosomal RNA (530 nucleotides) under uncultured fungus. RNAcentral's name for it is "eukaryotic LSU rRNA". The stretch from base 123 to 276 matches the Rfam family "5.8S ribosomal RNA". Lineage: Eukaryota; Fungi. The record is from RNAcentral.
ACCUGUGCAUCUAUGACUCUGACUGCCGCCUUGCAUGGCCUUGAUCGGCCUGGCGCUCGAGUACUUUUCACACUCCCAAAUGUAAUGGAAUGUCUUGUUGUGCGUAACGUACAAACUGAAACAACUUUCAACAACGGAUCUCUUGGCUCUCGCAUCGAUGAAUAACGCAGCGAAAUGCGAUAAGUAAUGUGAAUUGCAGAAUUCAGUGAAUCAUCGAAUCUUUGAACGCACCUUGCACCCUUUGGUAUUCCGAAGGGUACGCCCGUUUGAGUGUCAUUGUAAUCUCACUGCAAUCGACUUUUGUCUUUCCGUAUGUGGACUUGGACGUCUGCCGUGAAUAUCUACGGCUCGUCUGAAAUGCCUCAGUGUACCCCGCAGAGCGGCGUAUUCGGUGUGAUACAUCUUCACCGGAGUUGAUCCUUCACGGGGUCACGUCUGUAAUGUGUGGCUCUAUGCUUCCAACCGUCCUCUGAUCGGACAAUCUUUGACAAUUCAACCUCAAAUCAGGUGGGACUACCCGCUGAACUUAC